Molecule: ribosomal RNA, 128 nt
Filed under: uncultured eukaryote
Lineage: Eukaryota
Description: partial small subunit ribosomal RNA
Rfam family: Eukaryotic small subunit ribosomal RNA
Source: RNAcentral
CCCUGCCCUUUGUACACACCGCCCGUCGCUCCUACCGAUUUCGAGUGAUCCGGUGAACCUUUUGGACUGCGAGGAGACUCGUGCUCAGCGCGGGAAAUCAAGUAAACCACAUCACUUAGAGGAAGGAG